CGGGAUGUAGCGCAGUUGGUAGCGCGCUGCGUUCGGGACGCAGAAGUCGCAGGUUCGAAUCCUGUCAUUCCGACCA
RNAcentral lists this transfer RNA (76 nucleotides) under Clostridiaceae bacterium HFYG-1003. RNAcentral's name for it is "tRNA-Pro". It matches the Rfam family "tRNA". From Rfam's summary of the family: Transfer RNA (tRNA) molecules are approximately 80 nucleotides in length. Their secondary structure includes four short double-helical elements and three loops (D, anti-codon, and T loops). Further hydrogen bonds mediate the characteristic L-shaped molecular structure. tRNAs have two regions of fundamental functional importance: the anti-codon, which is responsible for specific mRNA codon recognition, and the 3' end, to which the tRNAs corresponding amino acid is attached (by aminoacyl-tRNA synthetases). tRNAs cope with the degeneracy of the genetic code in two manners: having more than one tRNA (with a specific anti-codon) for a particular amino acid; and 'wobble' base-pairing, i.e. permitting non-standard base-pairing at the 3rd anti-codon position. The record is from RNAcentral. RNAcentral also lists the same sequence under 2 other names. Lineage: Bacteria; Bacillati; Bacillota; Clostridia; Eubacteriales; Clostridiaceae.